UAAAUCUAUUCCAAAGCCAAGGGCGGACAACCAGUGCAAAGGAAGUGUUGCUUCUUUUUAAAUGGACAUCUGCUCUUGCGGGAUGGCCCAGAUAUCCAGUAGCAAUGGAUUUAAACAGCGCUCCUCACCUUCUUUGGCAGCCGCCAGGUCAAAAGAUGUGGACAAAGAAGAGGCGUUGCAGAUGGAAGCUGAGGCAUUAGCUAAGAUGCAGAAAGAAAGAGGUGUGGCUGGUAAUAAACAAACUUUUAAUUCUUUAAGCAGCACCAGACAAAAAGCACAGGCUCAUAGCAAACAGGACCAUGAUCUCAUGGUGUUUCCAGAGUCUGAUGCCAAGAGCAUGGAAGAUAAACUAAGUACCAUUGACAUAGAGAAGCUUACUCAUGCUGAACUAGAGAAACUGCUGCUAGAUGACAGUUUUGAAUCUAGUAAAGUACGUACGUUACCAGUGAGUCCUAUUUUGAGCCCAUCUGUGUCUUCGCAAUUUUACCUUGGACCUAUGGGUCAGAGAAGACAGUGGAUGUCUGGGAUACCAGCACCUGUGACAUGCCCUUUACCUCCUAUUUACCCCUCAGCUUCUUACACGAAACAGACUGGUGUAUUUCAAAAUGGAUUCCAUCCAAACAUGUCCUCCUGUUACUCUAGAGAACCUAUUUAUCUUGGUCUUCCAAGGCAGUCGCAAUACAUUUCAUACCCAUUGGCAGCUACUACACCUUUCCAUCCACAAGGAAGCCUACCUAUAUAUCCUCCAGUACUUACACCAGAAAUGGCGAAAGUAUUUGACAAAAUUGCAAGCACUUCAGAAUUUCUGAAAAAUGGGAAGUCAAGCACGGAUUUAGAAGUGACUGCUAUAAAGUCUGCAGUUUCUGACUUACCAGCCUCAGAAAGCUGCAGUGAUGUUAGUAAAUUUGAUUGGUUAGAUUUGGAUCCCCUAAGUAAACCAAAAGUGGAUAGUGUGGAGACUUUAAAUAAGGCAGAGAAUGAUGGAGAGAGGGCUUCAGGUAUGACUGCUGAAGAUCCAUGGGAUGCUGUGCUGUUAGAAGAAAAGCUGUUAGUAACUUGUCAUCUGGAAAGAAAAGUUAAUGGGAAAUCUGGAGCAACAGUUACAAGGAGCCAGUCCUUAAACAUGCGAACAACUCAACUUGCAAAGUUACAGGGCCAAACAUCACAG
Pelecanus crispus (Dalmatian pelican) is the source of this 1168-nucleotide non-coding RNA. The record is from RefSeq and is a predicted model, not a curated record. NCBI's taxonomy places the organism in Eukaryota, Metazoa, Chordata, Aves, Pelecaniformes, Pelecanidae.